AUUGAACGCUGGCGGCGUGCUUUACACAUGCAAGUCGAGCGAUGAAGUUUCUUCGGAAAUGGAUUAGCGGCGAACGGGUGAGGAACACGUGAAGAAUCUGCCCUCCACUUUGGGAUAACACCGGGAAACCGGUGCUAAUACCGAAUAUUGAAACAUAAGUGGCAUCACUGAGUUUUGAAAGAAUUUCGGUGGAGGAUGACUUCGCGGCCUAUCAGCUAGUUGGUGAGGUAAUGGCUCACCAAGGCAACGACGGGUAGCCGGCCUGAGAGGGCGAACGGCCACACUGGAACUGAGACACGGCCCAGACUCCUACGGGAGGCAGCAGUGGGGAAUAUUGGGCAAUGGAGGAAACUCUGACCCAGCGACGCCGCGUGCGGGAUGAAGGCCUUCGGGUUGUAAACCGCUUUCAGUAGGGAAGGAGCGAAAGUGACGGUACCUACAAAAGAAGCACCGGCUAACUAUGUGCCAGCCGCCGCCGUAA
This 481-nucleotide ribosomal RNA is filed under the name uncultured bacterium. Its description in RNAcentral is "partial 16S ribosomal RNA". It matches the Rfam family "Bacterial small subunit ribosomal RNA", at positions 30 to 523 of the family's 1533-position model. The record is from RNAcentral.